Molecule: ribosomal RNA, 231 nt
Filed under: uncultured Thiobacillus sp.
Lineage: Bacteria; Pseudomonadati; Pseudomonadota; Betaproteobacteria; Nitrosomonadales; Thiobacillaceae
Description: partial 16S ribosomal RNA
Rfam family: Bacterial small subunit ribosomal RNA
Source: RNAcentral
GCCGGUGACAACCGGAGGAAGGUGGGGAGUGACGUCAAGUCCUCAUGGCCCUUAUGGUAGGGCUUCACACGUCAUACAAUGGUCGGUACAGAGGGUUGCCAAGCCGCGAGGCGGAGCCAAUCCCACAAAGCCGAUCGUAGUCCGGAUUGUUCUCUGCAACUCGAGAGCAUGAAGUCGGAAUCGCUAGUAAUCGCAGGUCAGCAUACUGCGGUGAAUACGUUCCCGGGUCUU